UUUCUAAAGAUUGUUGAGCAGAUAUGAUAUAAUGUCUAUUUUAAUGUCUAUUGUUCCUAUUUCUCUGCUAAUUCUGAGCUGUCUGGGGCAGUGAAACAAAACACAAAACACCAGCCUAACUUGGAAAGAGAAUUGUGGUUAGAUAGAUAAGGCUGAGAAAAUGCUGGUGGAUGUUUGGAAUUGGAUAAAGAAAUAUGCAGAGCUUAGGAUGAUGUCUUACAGUUUCAGUGGAUGCAAAGACUGUGAUAAUUGUGAGGACCAAAGGAUUGAAACACGAAGCCAGAAGGCUGAAUUCCCCUCUGGAUGACACCAGCACAAAGACUCUGAAGCCAGGGGUAUUGAUACAAGUGAAGAAGUUCAACAAGACUAAGUGCUGCGUCCUGCACUUUGGACGCAACAGAGCUAUACGCCUGGGCAGAGUGCCUGGAAAGCUUUGUGGAUGAAAUAGACCUGUAUGUGUUGGUUAACACUUAGCUAAAUGCAUCUUGGCUUGUAUCAGAAAUAGUGUUGCCAGCAGGAGCCAGGAAGUGAUCAUCUCUCCAUACUCUGCUCUGUUGAGGCCGCACCUUGAGCACUGUGUUCAGUUUGGUGCCCCUCCCUACAAGAAAGACAUUGAGGCCCUGGAGUGUGUCCAGAGAAGGGCAAUAAAGCUGGUGAGGGGUCUGGAGCA
Molecule: long non-coding RNA, 670 nt
Filed under: Coturnix japonica (Japanese quail)
Lineage: Eukaryota; Metazoa; Chordata; Aves; Galliformes; Phasianidae
Description: lncRNA (ENSCJPG00005003268.1)
Source: RNAcentral